UCAUUCUUCAUUUUAUUUAUGUUAUGAAAUUUUUCUUCUUCUCUUCUUUCGGCAUCUGGCCAAAUCCUGACUAAAUUCUUGUUUUUCUUUUCUUUAGUUAACACUAACCUGAUGGGACAUAUUGAUCGCAUGGGUAUCAAAUUCCGAGGGAGAGCUCAGAGACAAAAAUUUGAAGAACUUGCUGAGAGAGAGAUGCACCCAAAUUUUUAUG
This 211-nucleotide long non-coding RNA is filed under the name Lathyrus oleraceus (garden pea). Its description in RNAcentral is "Pisum sativum (pea) long non-coding RNA (PSAT_LNC012470)". The record is from RNAcentral. Lineage: Eukaryota; Viridiplantae; Streptophyta; Magnoliopsida; Fabales; Fabaceae.